AGUGGAUAAAACAUGAAUAUGUCACACUGGAUGAUGUCAAAUAUCUUGCUUUCCUUUUGAGAGAAGAAAAUGAGUCACAUCGCAUGCUACCAUUUGCAGCAGUUAUGGGGAAUAAGAAACUGGAUGAGUUCCUCAUGGCCCUGCUUUUCUACAUGUCUUUUUACCUGGAAAAAAUUGCCUUGGAAAAGAAAACCCAAUCCUUGA
Long non-coding RNA from Lagopus leucura (white-tailed ptarmigan), 204 nucleotides. RefSeq lists it as uncharacterized. The transcript has 3 exons. NCBI's taxonomy places the organism in Eukaryota, Metazoa, Chordata, Aves, Galliformes, Phasianidae. The record is from RefSeq and is a predicted model, not a curated record.